GACGAACGCUGGCGGCGUGCUUAACACAUGCAAGUCGAACGGAAAGGCCCUGCUUUUGUGGGGUGCUCGAGUGGCGAACGGGUGAGUAACACGUGAGUAACCUGCCCUUGACUUUGGGAUAACUUCAGGAAACUGGGGCUAAUGCCGGAUAGGAGCUCCUGCUGCAUGGUGGGGGUUGGAAAGUUUCGGCGGUUGGGGAUGGACUCGCGGCUUAUCAGCUUGUUGGUGGGGUAGUGGCUUACCAAGGCUUUGACGGGUAGCCGGCCUGAGAGGGUGACCGGCCACAUUGGGACUGAGAUACGGCCCAGACUCCUACGGGAGGCAGCAGUGGGGAAUAUUGCACGAUGGGCGGAAGCCUGAUGCAGCAACGCCGCGUGCGGGAUGACGGCCUUCGGGUUGUAAACCGCUUUCGCCUGUGACGAAGCGUGAGUGACGGUAAUGGGUAAAGAAGCACCGGCUAACUACGUG
Molecule: ribosomal RNA, 468 nt
Filed under: uncultured bacterium
Lineage: Bacteria
Description: partial 16S ribosomal RNA
Rfam family: Bacterial small subunit ribosomal RNA
Source: RNAcentral